This 72-nucleotide transfer RNA is filed under the name Phrynosoma platyrhinos (Desert horned lizard). RNAcentral's name for it is "tRNA-OTHER". The record is from RNAcentral. Lineage: Eukaryota; Metazoa; Chordata; Lepidosauria; Squamata; Phrynosomatidae.
GCCAGCAUGGUGCAGUGGUUUGAGCAUUGGACUAUGACUCUGGAGAACAGGGUUCAAAUCUCUGCUCAGUCA